This is a non-coding RNA of Aedes aegypti (yellow fever mosquito), 45 nucleotides long. Lineage: Eukaryota; Metazoa; Arthropoda; Insecta; Diptera; Culicidae. The record is from Rfam.
AAAACGGCCCUCUUCAGGGCCACAACAAUGCAUUCGAAGUAGAAG